Gallus gallus (chicken) is the source of this 3157-nucleotide long non-coding RNA. RefSeq lists it as uncharacterized. Lineage: Eukaryota; Metazoa; Chordata; Aves; Galliformes; Phasianidae. The transcript is spliced from 3 exons. The record is from RefSeq and is a predicted model, not a curated record.
AGACCACCUUAUCAACAACAGGUUUUUUUUAGUCAAAUGUGAUCUUUUUUCUAGGUGGCGGACAGACACUGGGCUAAAAGCUGCCUGGUUCCUGACAGAUGAUCUGUGGGUUCCUGCUUGGUACUACUCCAAAGCAGCAAGGAUACAGGCACAACUCAGCUGGCAGCUUUGUCAGUGAUGCAAGGGGAGGAAGCGUGCUGUACCGGGUUGCCGGUGGUCACCCUAUGAGAUCUGUCCUGUGGCUCCAGCAGAGCUGCCUCCAGGGAAGGAAACCCAGGGCAGCCCCAUGCUCUUUGCAGGCUGUUCCACCAUUGCAGCAUUUGCACAACGCACCAGUUCUUUGAAGACCCAUAGAUGAAAGAACGGAGCUGUGGAGAUGAGGCUUAGAGAUUAUCUGUGAUAUCUGCUGUACAGAGCUUCUGUGCCAGCAGGGGAAAUGGCUUCUGGCUCUCAUGGCUCCUGGUGUGCCCAACCACGAGGCUGAGCAUCGUGCUUCAUCUUCUGAGAAAACAUGCACUAGAGGUAUGAUGGAGCUUUCCUCCCCAGGCAGUAACCUGUGCCGUAUUUUCCUUUCUCUGCUAGGUGUCUUUGCUGCUCUGGGUGUUAACAGCCAAAACACACACAAAGCCUUUUACUAGAGCAUUAGGUCUGUAUAUGCAUUUUCAGCAGUCAGAUAGAUGAUUUAUUCAUCCACUUCAGUAACCAUUCAAACAGGGCACAGCGUUCACUACAGUGUAGACAGCAACAAACACUGUGUUUGGUUUGCAAGAACAAAUAAGCAGAACGAGAUAACAGAAGCGAUUUUUCCAAUGUAAAGGACUCUGCUGCCAUCCCCGUUAAAAUCUCUCUGUCAAAUUAAACACUGUUUCCCCAAGCUGUAACUCUGGGAAAGCAUGGCUGUUAUACUCUCUGUUAGAAACCUGAUUAUAGCCACUUUGUGUCUGCAAAAGCACAACCUCUGAUGGAAGGUGACUCCCAGAUACUCCGCAGAUGCGCAUAAGCAGCGCUGUAGAUGUCUCUGCGUGUAUGGGGAGAGGAGGGGUAGCUCUCACGGAGUGCACGAGGCAUUCAGUGGGAAAUUGCCAUUUCUCUGAAGGACAACGCCAUUACAACCGUGCAGAUCCUCGGCUUUGGUCUUUCUGGCCUGGAGAAGAGGAGGUGAGGAGGGAAUGAAUACAAAGGCUCGAGAUAAAGCAGAAAUAGCAGACGGGCAGGCAGAGAUGGCAAAAUGCAAAACAAAAUGAUGAUGAUGAUGAUGAAAAUUUUGUCUUGCCCCUAAGCAUUCCUGUAAAGCAUUGUGUCCUGCUGAGGUGCUUCAAUUUGCUUCAAACUUGGAGUUACUUUGGAAGCAAAGCAGAACUCCAGAUGAAGAGAUCAACUGGGGGCCGCACCCUCUCCAAAAUGUCGGCACAUUUUUGGGUUCUCUCACAGCUGCUCAGCUCUCAAAAGAUAAAACUGCAUGAAAAGUAGUGGAUGACACUCCUGUAGAUAGGAGUCUACAGGAGUAUCACUAGGAUGAUGGAGUCCAAAGUAGAUCCUGCACGUCCCUUGUUUGAUGGAGCCAGGCUGCUUCAUGGGACGUGACAGCGUGCCAAAAACAGCACCUAGUGAAACAAGGGAGGCUGUUUUCUCCCAUGGUGAUCCUACGCUUUCUUCCUUCUGCAUAUUUUUAUCUUAGUUUAUUUGAAUCUUGCUAAACCCCACCGCCUUAUGGCCCAUACGCUAUUUGUAAGCUUGGAGUUAUCCCCAUCCCUGGCAGACCCAUCUUCUGGGGGAGGUGACACCCAUCCCUGUACCGCCCAAGUGGGGCCCUGCCAACGCCUCCAAACAAAAGCCCUGUUCCUCUGAUGCCAGCAGCACGGGACUGCUCUAUUCUGCAAUGGAUAUUUCUUGCUGCACACGUCCACCUCCUUCAUUAGAUGCCUGUAAGCCCUUCCUUAAGUUCCCAUCAUCUGUGAGCUCCCAACCUCUUUGAGGACUCCCAGUAGCUGACCAGCUAUCACCCGUGAUCAUUUCUGAGCAAAUUUCAUGGGCUCUGGGAAAAAGAUGAAGGCUACUAAGUAAAGACAUGCAGAUGUCAGGAAUUGCCUUUUGCUUUCUUGCUCAUCUACAUUCCAGAGUCCAUUCAGCUGAUUUAACUUUUUGGUCCUCUCAAGCCUUUUCACUCCUUAGACUCCUCUCUAUGGGAAAAGAGAUCUGUGUAUACGAAUAGGUGCUGGCCCUGUUUGGGUGCUCCCCUCACUGAAACAUGCCACAGUCACACAGAUGAUCUUUUAUUAAUGCUUCUCAUUCCAGGUCUCCCCACUGUCUCAUUUCUCCAUCUUUUCUGGGUUAGUGGGACAUUUAUCCAUCUCUCAGAAUGUCAAUAAAGAUGUAAAAUAAUGAUGCCGGCACAGCAUCCCCAGCCAGGCACAGGAGAGCUUCUACAUAUAAUGAAUACUUAUCACCAGCCUCUUUUCAGCCCAACCAACAAUCCCCUCUUACAUCAAAGCCUCAUCUCAAUUAAUAUUUGAUGCUGGGAUUCAUUCCACUAUUAGAUGCUGUUAAAAUUCAGGGACCCCGGUUUUUUCUUCAGCUGGAGACAACAACAAACCACACAGAGCAGGGCCAGCCUUCAGAGGGGGGAUUUGUCUCAGCCAACUUCAAAUGUCUGCACUACGGCUGCCUCCAGCUCAGCCGGUUCAUUAUCAUUUCUUUCUAGUAUGUGGAGUGAACUGGCACUUCUAAGGCUCUAUUUUCCCUUGACCUGUGUUAGGGUAAGGUGAUGCGUGUCCUGGCUGCCUAACAGAAAUGCAUUUUUUAUGUUUCCCGUGUCGCAAUCCUGGCAGAAAUAAGGAUGAAAAUGUCUCAUUAUGUUUCCUGCUCAUUAUCACACGUUAACCCUGUGAUUGCUCAUCUGAGGUCCCUUGCACACAGCAAGAAAGGUGGUUACUGGGCUGAUGGAUCCAAACUUCUUAAAUAAAAGCUGAUCAUAUGUGCAUCUUACUACAAAAGGCAGAAAUUGUAGUCUGAGGAAAUGGACUCAAAACCACACAAGUAGCCUGUAUCCUGCUUGUUGUACAUGAUACGUUCAAAGAUAAUGCACAGCAGUUCAGUAAGUUGAUCAGCUAAUUCACUUUAUACUGAAGUCUUAAUAUCACCUGGGCAUAAUGACUGA